GUGAAAAAAUUAGAGUGUUCAAAGCAGGCAGAUUUAACUUUCUGCCACCGAAUACAUUAGCAUGGGAUAAUGGAAUAGGACCCUGUCCUCCUAUUUUCAGUUGGUUUUUGAGGACCAGGGUAAUGAUUAAUAGGGAUAGUUGGGGGCAUUAAUAUUUAAUUGUCAGAGGUGAAAUUCUUGGAUUUAUGAAAGAUUAACUUCUGCGAAAGCAUCUGCCAAGGAUGUUUUCAUUAAUCAAGAACGAAAGUUAGGGGAUCGAAGACGAUCAGAUACCGUCGUAGUCUUAACCAUAAACGAUGCCGACCAGCGAUUAGGAGACGUUGAAUACAAAACACCACCAUCAGACGGCGGAUCAUCUUCACGCAAGUGAGGGUGGUUCGUUUCUCUGGUGGCCCGGUGAAUGACUCCCUAGCACCCUUGUGAG
Molecule: ribosomal RNA, 424 nt
Filed under: Acanthamoeba sp.
Lineage: Eukaryota; Discosea; Longamoebia; Acanthamoebidae
Description: SSU rRNA
Rfam family: Eukaryotic small subunit ribosomal RNA (bases 1-379)
Source: RNAcentral